UACGGAGGAUGCGAGCGUUAUCCGGAUUUAUUGGGUUUAAAGGGUGCGUAGGCGGACUGUCAAGUCAGCGGUAAAAUUGAGAGGCUCAACCUCUUCCCGCCGUUGAAACUGGUGGUCUUGAGUGGAUGAGAAGUACGCGGAAUGCGCGGUGUAGCGGUGAAAUGCAUAGAUAUCACGCAGAACUCCGAUUGCGAAGGCAGCGUACCGGCAUCCAACUGACGCUGAGGCACGAAAGCGUGGGGAUCAAACAGG
RNAcentral lists this ribosomal RNA (252 nucleotides) under uncultured bacterium. RNAcentral describes it as "partial 16S ribosomal RNA". It matches the Rfam family "Bacterial small subunit ribosomal RNA", at positions 524 to 776 of the family's 1533-position model. The record is from RNAcentral.